This is a non-coding RNA of Triticum aestivum (bread wheat), 116 nucleotides long. The record is from Rfam. Lineage: Eukaryota; Viridiplantae; Streptophyta; Magnoliopsida; Poales; Poaceae.
CAACUACUCCCUCCGUUCGGAAUUACUCAUCCAAAAAAAUGAAUGGAUCUAGAUGUAUUUUAGUUGUAGAUAUAUCCAUUUUUGUGACAAGUAAUUCCGAACGGAGGGAGUAUUUC